RNAcentral lists this long non-coding RNA (1260 nucleotides) under Sus scrofa (pig). Its description in RNAcentral is "lncRNA (ENSSSCG00050022999.1)". The record is from RNAcentral. Lineage: Eukaryota; Metazoa; Chordata; Mammalia; Artiodactyla; Suidae.
CUCCUGGGCUGGCCCUGUGGUCCCCUCAGUCCUGACAGCUGGGCUCCGUCCCGGCCUCCUUGACUGGGGGCCGCUGGCAGGUCCAGGCUGCUGGGCUGGGAGGUCAGCCAGGGCUGGGGCCACCCCCGCGCCUCGGAACCUGAGCCACACACAGGGCUGGCCCGCCUGGACGGCCGGCUACUGGGGCUGCCAGGACUUCUAAGAAGCCCCACGCUGGCUGGUUGGGGACAGGAGGUGACUCGGCCAGCUGGGCAGACAUCAGGGAGGCCCGGGCUUCUGGUAAACAGGCCUGGGACAGUGAAAUGAUGUAAACAGCAGGUCUGAGUCCGGGACAGUCCCCGGGCUCGGCUCCCUAAUGGCACAGACACGGACGCCGAGGCUCAGAGAGCUUAGAGGACAAGAUGGGGGCUUCAGAGGGGGCCCGUCCGCUGAUCCCCGACCCUCCUCUGACCGUAACGUGAUACUCUGGGUCCCUGCCACACCCUGGGCUGAUGAGUCACCAAAACCUAUUUUACGGAACAAGUAAUAAGUGUUCUGUCCCAUCCUCCUGUGUGCAGUCCGGUGCAAGCCCUCAGACUUCACACCUGGACCCCAGGGCACCGCUUCCCGGCUCCCUGCUCCAGUCUGCAAUCUACAUACCGCUCGCUCACACUCAUCCCCUAAAACCAGACUUGAGCCCUGCUCCUUCCCUGCUCAGGAACUAUCACUGGCUCCCUACUUCCCCAAGACCACGUCCAACCCCGUCUUCACUGCAGGGCCUCGGCAGCAGGCUCCUGGCAGUCUUUCUCCCCUUCCGCCCCCUCCACUCGGGCCUCCCUUCUGCUUCUUCCCCCCAAGACGUCCCCCCAACACCACCACCACCACCCACCUGUCUCUGCUUUUCCACAGGGCGCUGCUCCUCCUCCGGAAAUCCCUCUCCUCCUCUGACCAGGCCCUACUGUGCCCUGCGGCUAUCAGCAUCCUGCCCUCGCUGUGCCCGGAGGCUUUUAUUUCUUGCACCGCAUCAAACACCGGUGUUCUUGUACUGCAUCAAACACCUUUCUCACGUGCGUGGAUCUGUGCUGUGCAUGUGUGUUCAGAGCUGGAACAUUCUCUCCGUAUCCAACACAGCAGGCAGCACGGUCCCCACAGAACGUGGGUGCUGCAAACAUACACUGAUUGACUCGACACCCAAAAGACACCAACAACAUGCAUGGGCUUCUUUUUCCUGCCCUUGGAAAGCAGGAACCGAGUUCCCGUCGUGGCUCAGCAGUAACAAAG